UACGUAGGGAGCAAGCGUUAUCCGGAAUUAUUGGGUGUAAAGGGUGCGUAGACGGGAGUCUAAGUUAGUUGUGAAAUCCCUCGGCUCAACUGAGGAACUGCAACUAAAACUGGGCAUCUUGAGUGCAGGAGAGGAAAGUGGAAUUCCUAGUGUAGCGGUGAAAUGCGUAGAUAUUAGGAGGAACACCAGUGGCGAAGGCGACUUUCUGGACUGUAACUGACGUUGAGGCACGAAAGUGUGGGGAGCAA
This 248-nucleotide ribosomal RNA is filed under the name uncultured Oscillospiraceae bacterium. RNAcentral's name for it is "partial 16S ribosomal RNA". It matches the Rfam family "Bacterial small subunit ribosomal RNA", at positions 524 to 771 of the family's 1533-position model. Lineage: Bacteria; Bacillati; Bacillota; Clostridia; Eubacteriales; Oscillospiraceae. The record is from RNAcentral.